This 497-nucleotide ribosomal RNA is filed under the name uncultured bacterium. Its description in RNAcentral is "partial 16S ribosomal RNA". It matches the Rfam family "Bacterial small subunit ribosomal RNA", at positions 28 to 507 of the family's 1533-position model. The record is from RNAcentral.
GAUGAACGCUGGCGGCGUGCCUAAUACAUGCAAGUCGAGCGAACGGACGAGAAGCUUGCUUCUCUGAUGUUAGCGGCGGACGGGUGAGUAACACGUGGAUAACCUACCUAUAAGACUGGGAUAACUUCGGGAAACCGGAGCUAAUACCGGAUAAUAUUUUGAACCGCAUGGUUCAAAAGUGAAAGACGGUCUUGCUGUCACUUAUAGAUGGAUCCGCGCUGCAUUAGCUAGUCGGUAAGGUAACGGCUUACCAAGGCAACGAUGCAUAGCCGACCUGAGAGGGUGAUCGGCCACACUGGAACUGAGACACGGUCCAGACUCCUACGGGAGGCAGCAGUAGGGAAUCUUCCGCAAUGGGCGAAAGCCUGACGGAGCAACGCCGCGUGAGUGAUGAAGGUCCUCGGAUCGUAAAACUCUGUUAUUAGGGAAGAACAUAUGUGUAAGUAACUGUGCACAUCUUGACGGUACCUAAUCAGAAAGCCACGGCUAACUACGUG